RNAcentral lists this ribosomal RNA (267 nucleotides) under uncultured Rubrobacter sp. RNAcentral describes it as "partial 16S ribosomal RNA". It matches the Rfam family "Bacterial small subunit ribosomal RNA", at positions 202 to 468 of the family's 1533-position model. Lineage: Bacteria; Bacillati; Actinomycetota; Rubrobacteria; Rubrobacterales; Rubrobacteraceae. The record is from RNAcentral.
AGCUUCGGCCAUCCGGCGAGGGAUGGGCCCGCGGUGCAUUAGCUAGUUGGUGGGGUAACGGCUCACCAAGGCGACGAUGCAUAGCUGGUCUGAGAGGAUGAUCAGCCACACUGGGACUGAGACACGGCCCAGACUCCUACGGGAGGCAGCAGCCAGGAAUCUUGGGCAAUGGGCGAAAGCCUGACCCAGCAACACCGUGUGGGCGAUGAAGGCCUUAGGGUCGUAAAGCCCUGUUGAUAGGGACGAAGGGCGAAGGGUUAAUAGCCC